RNAcentral lists this ribosomal RNA (169 nucleotides) under Pterocarpus macrocarpus. Its description in RNAcentral is "5.8S ribosomal RNA". It matches the Rfam family "5.8S ribosomal RNA". From Rfam's summary of the family: 5.8S ribosomal RNA (5.8S rRNA) is a component of the large subunit of the eukaryotic ribosome. It is transcribed by RNA polymerase I as part of the 45S precursor that also contains 18S and 28S rRNA. Lineage: Eukaryota; Viridiplantae; Streptophyta; Magnoliopsida; Fabales; Fabaceae. The record is from RNAcentral.
GUCUAGAACGACUCUCGGCAACGGAUAUCUCGGCUCUUGCAUCGAUGAAGAACGUAGCGAAAUGCGAUACUUGGUGUGAAUUGCAGAAUCCCGUGAACCAUCGAGUCUUUGAACGCAAGUUGCGCCCAAAGCCAUUAGGCUAAGGGCACGCCUGCCUGGGUGUCACAAA